This is a long non-coding RNA of Gambusia affinis (western mosquitofish), 528 nucleotides long. RefSeq lists it as uncharacterized. NCBI's taxonomy places the organism in Eukaryota, Metazoa, Chordata, Actinopteri, Cyprinodontiformes, Poeciliidae. The transcript is spliced from 4 exons. The record is from RefSeq and is a predicted model, not a curated record.
CACUGAGCUGGCUCAUUCGCGAGUGACACACCUGAUUGCCAAUCAUUCACACCUGUUAGCUGGAAAGCCAGGACAACACGGAUAAACAAAACGCCUGGGAAAUACUUAAAGUGGUUUGACAGAGCACCUGGUGUGAGCGGAGCUGGAAAUCCUUAUUGAUUACUGCUUUGUGGAAGUGGUCUCUGGCUGUAUGGCUUCCUCGCUGUAUCCUCUCCAGGACUGCAAGCGGGCGACAAAAGUAGAGAUGAAAACCAGAGGGAGAGACUCACCUGCAUCCCAAGAACUUUACAGAACACCCUCCAGAACUGGGAGAUGAACUGUGGCCUUCUUUCAGAAACGAUGUCAACAGGAAGUCUGUCAGGACAGGAUCUCUUCCAAUUCUUUGGAAGAAGGGGACAUUGAUGAGUGGAACCAGGGGAAGAGGUAGCCUGGUCAACAGAUUCUCGUCCUACACUAUUCGCUUCGAACGGAGAGUCUUGGCUCUCGACUGUUGAGAAACAAUCGCUUCCUGGAGGUGUUGGAAGUUUU